CGUGGAGAACCUGCCGUAUACUGGGGGAUAACACUUAGAAAUAGGUGCUAAUACCGCAUAAGCGCACAGCUUCGCAUGAAGCAGUGUGGAAAACAAAAAGCUAAAGCUUUUGGUGGUAUACGAUGGAUCCGCGUCUGAUUAGCUGGUUGGCGGGGUAGAAGCCCACCAAGGCGACGAUCAGUAGCCGGCCUGAGAGGGUGAACGGCCACAUUGGGACUGAGACACGGCCCAAACUCCUACGGAAGGCAGCAG
This 252-nucleotide ribosomal RNA is filed under the name uncultured bacterium. Its description in RNAcentral is "partial 16S ribosomal RNA". It matches the Rfam family "Bacterial small subunit ribosomal RNA", at positions 116 to 354 of the family's 1533-position model. The record is from RNAcentral.